This is a long non-coding RNA of Lineus longissimus, 1751 nucleotides long. RefSeq lists it as uncharacterized. NCBI's taxonomy places the organism in Eukaryota, Metazoa, Nemertea, Pilidiophora, Heteronemertea, Lineidae. The transcript is spliced from 3 exons. The record is from RefSeq and is a predicted model, not a curated record.
UGGUGCGUACAUUGCUGCUAUCGUGCCGGGGAUACAGCCGCUGUGGAAGGUGAAGCUGGAUUGUUGCUGGUCGAUACGGGAUGGCGUUGUAUCAUACACGGACUAAGGAUGUCGAUAUGAUGGAAUAUUCGUUAUAACUUUGUGGAAAACCACAGUCACUAUGAGGGCCCUCCUAAAACGCUGGUUACUGCUUGCACUUUCAGGGACGACACUGACUUUGAUACUCCAACGAAACGGAGCAGCACUGCAGCCCAGACUGGAGGACAUAUUCAGGCCAAAACACCAGGCAUAACAUCAGCAGAUCCUUCAAAAGGAAGUACAUUCUCCACGCUGGUGUUGGUUCAAAGGUUGGGUGAGUUGGCGAUAAAGCCUGCUAAAACAUUGAGAGCAAAGACUACAGCCGUUUGGAUGAAGUUUCAAAAUCAACAAAUUAGGAGAAAGAUGACGAAGAUCAGCGAACGCUUACUUGGGAAGAGAGAUAAACACACAUUGUUGACGACUUUAAAUGUGUUUUUGGCCGUUUUGAACAAAUCCCAGAUUGGCUACAUGAUUUAUGGUGGGACGCUCCUAGGUUCCUGGAGACACCAUGGAUUUAUACCUUGGGAUGACGAUAUAGAUAUACUCAUGGACGUCAAUGACAAACCAAAGCUUUUAAAUGCUUGUAAAGCUAUACAAAACUACACUGCAAUGAACGCGGGAAGUAGGAUCAAGUUCUACUCCGACAACGCUCCAGUGAUGACUAAUUUUGGGUGGAAAUGGCCGUAUUUAGAUUUGCAGUUCUAUACUAGUAAUACGACGCAUAUAUGGGACGUUGCUAGUGAAUUCUCAAAAACCAAGUAUUUAAGAGAUUACACAUUUCCACUUCAUGUAAGACCAUUUGAAGGACUAGACGUCCUUGCGCCAGCGAAAUCAUUAAGGUUUCUUUGGACAUAUUACGGUCAGACUCAAACCUGCAGCACAGGAUGGUAUACCCACAGAGAAGAAAGGGCAGCGUCGUCUGUGCACGUUCCGUGCAAGCAGUUCGCCGACCUUUACCCUUUUGUUCAUCGGCGUGUGAAAGAUGGGUUAAUGGAAGAAACUCUUAAGUUUAAAAACCAUACGAUGAAACAGAGACUAGUCAAUGAACCAUUAGAUUCUAUAUCGGAUCCAUAUGGUUUGAUUUUGUUAGGCAAAUCGUAAUCAACUGCUGAGGUUUCAAAAUGGGCAGGGCAAUUUCGAGUAAAAGGUUUUUAAAAAAUGUGUUAAACAUGUCUACGUUCUAUUAAAUUAACCAGACCUCAGUCUUCAGUUUUGUUGGUGAUACAGUCAGUGAGAGUAUGUAGACUAAAGCAUGGCCGUGACUGGUAUUCACUUUAGACUUCAGGACAAACCAUGGCCGUGACUAUUUACCUUCGGACUUCAGGACAUUAAAGCAUGCUAGUGACAAGUCACAUUCAGCGAUUUGAACUACAUCAUCAAACAUUCGGUACUGAGCGAUAUGAAAGUGAAGAAAGUGAAGAAAUGAUAUUAUAUAUUGAAAACAAUUACACUUACUUGCAACUUCGUACGAGCGAUGAUCUGCUAUCUCAUCAGGAUAGUUUUAAUCUAACGAUUUAAUCUCAUCGAUAGCACCAAUGAUGCAUUUUAUUCGCCUACCCGAUUUUGCCAAUAUUGGUUUGUAUUAGCAAUCGAGCGUCUGUUGCUAUGCCUACGAAAAAAAGUGUUGUUUGCACAAUAUCGCCGAAUAAUUUUAUAUCCAGGGCAACGUAUCU